CCCCACUGCUAUCGGGGUGGGACUAAAACAUGCAAGUCGAGCGCCUCCAAGCUAUGGUGAAGGCGCGGCAAACGGCUCAGUAACACGUGGCCAACCUACCCUUGGGACGGAGACAACCCCGGGAAACUGGGGCUAAUCCCCGAUAAGUAAGGAAUCCUGGAAUGGAUCUUUGCUGAAAGGGCGUCUAGACCAUGCUUCUUGACGUCGCCCAAGGAUGGAGCCGCGACCGAUCAGGUAGUUGGCGAGGCAACGGCUCACCAAGCCUAUAACCGGUACGGGCCGUGAGAGCGGGAGCCCGGAGAUGGGCACUGAGACAAGGGCCCAGGCCCUACGGGGCGCAGCAGUUGCGAAAACUCCGCAAUGCGCGAAAGCGUGACGGGGCUACCCCGAGUGCCGCCCGUUGAGGGCGGCUUUUCCACGGUGUAAGGAGCCGUGGGAAUAAGGAGAGGGCAAGACUGGUGUCAGCCGCCGCGGUAAUACCAGCUCUCCGAGUGGUGGGGACGAUUAUUGGGCUUAAAGCGUUCGUAGCCGGCUUAACAAGUCUUCCGUUAAAUCCAACGAUCUAAUCGUUGGGCUGCGGGAGAUACUGUUGGGCUAGGAGGCGGGAGAAGCCGACGGUAUUCUCGGGGUAGGGGUGAAAUCCUGUAAUCCCGGGAGGACCACCAGUGGCGAAGGCGGUCGGCUAGAACGCGCUCGACGGUGAGGGACGAAAGCUGGGGGAGCGAACCGGAUUAGAAACCCGGGUAGUCCCAGCUGUAAACGAUGCGGGCUAGGUGUUGGGGUGGCCACGAGCCACUUCAGUGCCGCAUGGAAGCAAUUAAGCCCGCCGCCUGGGGAGUACGGCCGCAAGGCUGAAACUUAAAGGAAUUGGCGGGGGAGCACCACAAGGCGUGAAGCUUGCGGUUU
RNAcentral lists this ribosomal RNA (906 nucleotides) under uncultured archaeon. RNAcentral describes it as "bacterial SSU rRNA". It matches the Rfam family "Archaeal small subunit ribosomal RNA", at positions 21 to 903 of the family's 1478-position model. The record is from RNAcentral.